GACGAACGCUGGCGGCGUGCUUAACACAUGCAAGUCGAACGGAAAGGCCCUGCUUUUGUGGGGUGCUCGAGUGGCGAACGGGUGAGUAACACGUGAGUAACCUGCCCUUGACUUUGGGAUAACUUCAGGAAACUGGGGCUAAUCCCGGAUAGGAGCUCCUGCUGCAUGGUGGGGGUUGGAAAGUUUCGGCGGUUGGGGAUGGACUCGCGGCUGAUCAGCUUGUUGGUGGGGUAGUGGCUUACCAAGGCUUUGACGGGUAGCCGGCCUGGGAGGGUGACCGGCCACGUUGGGACUGAAAUACGGCCCAGACUCCUACGGGAGGCAGCAGUGGGGAAUAUUGCACAAUGGGCGGAAGCCUGAUGCAGCAACGCCGCGUGCGGGAUGACGGCCUUCGGGUUGUAAACCGCUUUCGCCUGUGACGAAGCGUGAGUGACGGUAAUGGGUAAAGAAGCACCGGCUAACUACGUG
RNAcentral lists this ribosomal RNA (468 nucleotides) under uncultured bacterium. Its description in RNAcentral is "partial 16S ribosomal RNA". It matches the Rfam family "Bacterial small subunit ribosomal RNA", at positions 28 to 507 of the family's 1533-position model. The record is from RNAcentral.